Molecule: non-coding RNA, 30 nt
Filed under: Mus musculus (house mouse)
Lineage: Eukaryota; Metazoa; Chordata; Mammalia; Rodentia; Muridae
Source: RNAcentral
GCACACAAGAACAAGAUCCUGUCAGGUGUU